This is a long non-coding RNA of Numida meleagris (helmeted guineafowl), 1978 nucleotides long. RefSeq lists it as uncharacterized. NCBI's taxonomy places the organism in Eukaryota, Metazoa, Chordata, Aves, Galliformes, Numididae. The record is from RefSeq and is a predicted model, not a curated record. The transcript has 9 exons.
GCUGGGAGUUCUGGGGGGAGUCACGUGCUUUUCCGGCCCCUCUGCCUGCAGUGAGAGGUUGCCGGGCUCCUGUCUUGCUUUGCUGGGUGAUGGCUUCUGCUGGGUUCUCAGCUCUUUUGGGGAGACAGUGGAGGACUGCUGCUGCCAGGCUGUGAUGCGGGUGAGGGCUGCAGUGGAGCAAGGAUCAGCCCAAACCUGUGAAAACUUGAGGCAGCGCUGGAUCUGUGGAUGCACGGAGUUCAGGAGGUCCAGUAGUGUGAGGCUUCCCUCAGCUGCCCCAUGUGCAGCUGAGCUGUAUGAGAGCAGCUCUGGAGCCUGUGGCAGCAAGGAUUAGUGAGAGCUGCAGCAGAGCCUCCUGUCAGUCCAAGGCUGUGAUGAGACCAUGGAGGUGGUGGAUGAGGGAGAGCUGCUGUGGGGCCUUGUAGAGUGAGGAUCAUCCUAAACCAGUGAAGAGUUCCAGCAGUGGUGGGACUGUUGGAGGAGGGUGAGAGCUGUGAUGGGGCCUCUUGCUGUAAUGAUGAACCCAAAUGUACAAGCAGUUUUUGGACUGUGGGUCUAGGAAUAAUCUACUCAAGCUUGUGGCAGGGUCUCCUGUUGUGGUGCUGUGAAGCUGUUGGUGGCUCUGCAGCCUGAGGUGAGCUCAUUUGGUGUUUUUAUUUUGGUGAGGGGUGAAAUGUGGGGUUGGCUUUGGUGUUGGAGGGGUUCUUUUUUGGGAUGUUUCUGGGAAAACACAGCCACAUGCAGUGGCAUGCUGCUUGUUUUCCUGUUUCUUGGGUGCUGGAGGCUCAGGUUUGUACCAUCUUUAAAAAUAUAUAUAUUUUUUUUGGGUGGGGGGUGGGUUUUGUCAUUGUCUUGCGUGGCACUUUAUUGCCCCCAUCCUGCUGGGGUGGGGGUGUGAGGGGGAGCCCUCUGGUGAUGCAGGAGCUCCCCCUCAGUGCAGGUGUAAGGGGGUUAAGUUGGAGCUUGGUGGGGCUCAUGUAUAGUGUUGACCAGCUUCUUGGUGCUGAGUCCCAGGCUGGAUGGUGCGAAGCAGGGCUUGGAGCUGUGUUUAAUGUUCUGCGUGUUUAAUGUUCUGCAGGUGUCUUCCACAACUUGCAUAGAGAUCCUGGGGUGCUGCUGCUGGGUAUAGGGAAGUCUUCCAUGUGGAGCUGUGCUCCCUCCUGGCUGCUGAGGGGAGCCUAGCUUUUCUCUGGGUCUGACUGAAUGGAAGGGUGGAGGAAUUCCUCCCUGGGUGGGCUGGGAGAAGAGCUCAUGUACCUGGUUAGGGGAAGAUCUUCAGCUUUGCCUCACUGUCUGCUUCUUUAAGUAUGUGCAUAUCUCGGUGACUCCUUGAUCUUGAGGCACUUGAAGCUUGCAGGUUUCAUCUCUAGUAGCAGCUGCUGAUGAGUGCUUCAGUUCUCCUAUCAGUCCAUUCCAUGACCCGUCAUCCUGAGGACUCCCGUACUUGUGAUCUGGUGCAACAUAAAUUUCAUACUUAAAGCCAAGGAAAAAGCAGAAACACAAACAAAACACCCCAAGAUCCUAGGAAGACUAGGGGCAAGAUUAAGGCAAUGUGACACAAAAGGGAAGCAUGGGCAAAGGGCAAGUCAGGAGAGAGGGGGAAAGAAAAGGAAGAAAUGAAGCUUGGAUGCGAGGGAGCCUGUCCAUCUGUUCUCAGCGCUGACUCUAGGAGCAACGAACAUUAAAUGAUUCACAUAGCCCAAGCAGAGCUCUGUAGUCACAUGAAGUAAAUAUGUGCUGUGAGACUCAAAAACUUCUAUUACCUGCAAAUGCUAAGAAACUGCUCCCUCAAGUGAAAUUCAGUCUAAUUACUGGAUCUCUCACUCCCUUUCCAGUGGCUACCGGAUGACCCAGCGGAGCCGUCAGAACUGACAAGAAGCGAUACAAAGCCUUACAUAUGAACCAUAACUAAAACAUUUUCAAACUCAGGAUGCUUUUGUCUUCUUACUCUACUCUUUUGUAAUUACUUUUUCCUCUA